UACGUAGGGUGCAGGCGUUAAUCGGAAUUACUGGGCGUAAAGCGUGCGCAGGCGGUCUGUUAAGACAGGUGUGAAAUCCCCGGGCUUAACCUGGGAAUUGCGCUUGUAACUGGCAGGCUAGAGUGUGGCAGAGGGGGGUGGAAUUCCACGUGUAGCAGUGAAAUGCGUAGAUAUGUGGAGGAACACCGAUGGCGAAGGCAGCCCCCUGGGUUAACACUGACGCUCAUGCACGAAAGCGUGGGGAGCAAACAGGAUUAGAUACCCUGGUAGUCCACGCCCUAAACUAUGUCAACUGGUUGUCGGGGAAGAAAUUCCUUGGUAACGAAGCUAACGCGUGAAGUUGACCGCCUGGGGAGUACGGCCGCAAGGUUAAA
RNAcentral lists this ribosomal RNA (374 nucleotides) under uncultured bacterium. RNAcentral's name for it is "bacterial SSU rRNA". It matches the Rfam family "Bacterial small subunit ribosomal RNA", at positions 524 to 898 of the family's 1533-position model. The record is from RNAcentral.